CCGAGGAGAGAUCCUCGGGGCUUCUGCGUCCGUAGGUGAACCUGCGGAAGGAUCAUUAAAAAAAGGAUACCGGGCAACCGGUAGAUCCCACCCGUGUCUCUCUACUCUUGUUGCUUUGGCAGGCCGUGGCCUCCACCGCGGGCUCUGCCUGCGUGUGCCUGCCAGAGGACCAAACUCUGAAUUUUAGUAAUGUCUGAGUAACUAUAUAAUAGUUAAAACUUUCAACAACGGAUCUCUUGGUUCUGGCAUCGAUGAAGAACGCAGCGAAAUGCGAUAAGUAAUGUGAAUUGCAGAAUUCAGUGAAUCAUCGAAUCUUUGAACGCACAUUGCGCCCGGUGGUAUUCCGCCGGGCAUGCCUGUUCGAGCGUCAUUAUAACCACUCAAGCCUGGCUUGGUAUUGGGGUUCGCGGUUCCGCGGCCCCUAAAAUCAGUGGCGGUGCCGGUGGGCUCUAAGCGUAGUAAAUCUCCUCGCUAUAGGGUCCCUCCGGUUGCCUGCCAGAACCCCCCAUUUCUUCAGGUUGACCUCGGAUCAGGUAGGGAUACCCGCUGAACUUAAGCAUAUCAAUAAGCGGAGG
This 575-nucleotide ribosomal RNA is filed under the name uncultured fungus. Its description in RNAcentral is "eukaryotic LSU rRNA". The stretch from base 217 to 370 matches the Rfam family "5.8S ribosomal RNA". The record is from RNAcentral. Lineage: Eukaryota; Fungi.